Callithrix jacchus (white-tufted-ear marmoset) is the source of this 90-nucleotide small nucleolar RNA. NCBI's taxonomy places the organism in Eukaryota, Metazoa, Chordata, Mammalia, Primates, Cebidae. The record is from Ensembl.
AUCAAAUUGCAAUUCUGGGUGUUCACAUGUAUGUGUAAGAUAUGCCUCCCUCAAACCUUAUUACAAUGUCAGUACAUUACCCAUCUAACA